CCUACGGGAGGCUGCAGUGGGGAAUAUUGGACAAUGGGCGAAAGCCUGAUCCAGCCAUGCCGCGUGUGUGAAGAAGGCCUUCGGGUUGUAAAGCACUUUCAGUGGGGAAGAAAGCCUUGGGGCUAAUACCCUCGAGGAAGGACAUCACCCACAGAAGAAGCACCGGCUAACUCCGUGCCAGCAGCCGCGGUAAUACGGAGGGUGCGAGCGUUAAUCGGAAUUACUGGGCGUAAAGCGCGCGUAGGCGGUCUGAUAAGCCGGUUGUGAAAGCCCCGGGCUCAACCUGGGAACGGCAUCCGGAACUGUCAGGCUAGAGUGCAGGAGAGGAAGGUAGAAUUCCCGGUGUAGCGGUGAAAUGCGUAGAGAUCGGGAGGAAUACCAGUGGCGAAGGCGGCCUUCUGGACUGACACUGACGCUGAGGUGCGAAAGCGUGGGUAGCAAACAGGAUUAGAUACCCUGGCAGUC
Molecule: ribosomal RNA, 465 nt
Filed under: Vreelandella stevensii
Lineage: Bacteria; Pseudomonadati; Pseudomonadota; Gammaproteobacteria; Oceanospirillales; Halomonadaceae
Description: partial 16S ribosomal RNA
Rfam family: Bacterial small subunit ribosomal RNA
Source: RNAcentral